GGAGCUUCCUUGAAUUUUUGAGAACCGCUGACCGAGGCGGCGACAUUGGUUGUAGCGAUACACAGGAUGAGGAGGAGAAGAGAGAGGAGGUGCUGUGACGGUGGUGGCGGAAGUUUGGGCAUAGUGUUGGUAUGAAGAUAGGGAGAUCUAGAAAUGUGAAAGCAAAGAGGCGUCGGGUCUUAUUUGAGCUUUUAUAGAAAAUGAGACAUCAUAGCUUUGAACCCACGUUGGUUAAAGGAAGCAAGUCC
RNAcentral lists this unclassified non-coding RNA (248 nucleotides) under Hevea brasiliensis (rubber tree). Lineage: Eukaryota; Viridiplantae; Streptophyta; Magnoliopsida; Malpighiales; Euphorbiaceae. The record is from RNAcentral.